CUACGCACUCCUACGGGAGGCAGCAGUGGGGAAUAUUGCACAAUGGGCGCAAGCCUGAUGCAGCCAUGCCGCGUGUAUGAAGAAGGCCUUCGGGUUGUAAAGUACUUUCAGCAGUGAGGAAGGUGGGUAUGUUAAUAGCAUACUCAUUUGACGUUAGCUGCAGAAGAAGCACCGGCUAACUCCGUGCCAGCAGCCGCGGUAAUACGGAGGGUGCGAGCGUUAAUCGGAAUUACUGGGCGUAAAGCGCAUGCAGGUGGUUUGUUAAGUCAGAUGUGAAAGCCCGGGGCUCAACCUCGGAAUUGCAUUUGAAACUGGCAAACUAGAGUACUGUAGAGGGGGUAGAAUUUCAGGUGUAGCGGUGAAAUGCGUAGAGAUCUGAAGGAAUACCGGUGGCGAAGGCGGCCCCCUGGACAGAUACUGACACUCAGAUGCGAAAGCGUGGGGAGCAAACAGGAUUAGAUACCCUGGUCG
RNAcentral lists this ribosomal RNA (471 nucleotides) under uncultured bacterium. RNAcentral's name for it is "bacterial SSU rRNA". It matches the Rfam family "Bacterial small subunit ribosomal RNA", at positions 329 to 793 of the family's 1533-position model. The record is from RNAcentral.